Molecule: non-coding RNA, 128 nt
Submitted as: unclassified sequences
Source: Rfam
ACCUACCAGAAAAUACCGUAAGGACAAUCGUUUAACUAUAAUAUUAAUAAAAAGGUCGACAUCUUGUUUAUUUUCGGAAGAAAGGGUAUUAUUAAGGUAGUUGCAUCACAGUAAUGUGUUUGCGGGAG